AACUUGCCUUACAGACUGGGCACAACAUUUGGCAAACGAAUGCUAAUACCGGAUAUUAUGACUGAGUCGCAUGAUUUGGUUAUGAAAGCUAUAUGCGCUGUGAGAGAGCUUUGCGUCCCAUUAGUUAGUUGGUGAGGUAACGGCUCACCAAGACGAUGAUGGGUAGCCGGCCUGAGAGGGUGAACGGCCACAAGGGGACUGAGACACGGCCCUUACUCCUACGGGAGGCAGCAAGUGGGGAAUAUUGGACAAUGGACCAAAAGUCUGAUCCAGCAAUUCUGUGUGCACGAUGAAGUUUUUCGGAAUGUAAAGUGCUUUCAGUUGGGAAGAAGUCAGUGACGGUACCAACAGAAGAAGCGACGGCUAAAUACGUGCCAGCAGCCGCGGUAAUACGUAUGUCGCAAGCGUUAUCCGGAUUUAUUGGGCGUAAAGCGCGUCUAGGCGGUUUAGUAAGUCUGAUGUGAAAAUGCGGGGCUCAACCCCGUAUUGCGUUGGAAACUGCUAAACUAGAGUACUGGAGAGGUAGGCGGAACUACAAGUGUAGAGGUGAAAUUCGUAGAUAUUUGUAGGAAUGCCGAUGGGGAAGCCAGCCUACUGGACAGAUACUGACGCUAAAGCGCGAAAGCGUGGGUAGCAAACAGGAUUAGAUACCCUGGUAGUCCACGCCGUAAACGAUGAUUACUAGGUGUUGGGGGUCGAACCUCAGCGCCCAAGCUAACGCGAUAAGUAAUCCGCCUGGGGAGUACGUACGCAAGUAUG
Molecule: ribosomal RNA, 759 nt
Filed under: uncultured Fusobacteriota bacterium
Lineage: Bacteria; Fusobacteriati; Fusobacteriota
Description: bacterial SSU rRNA
Rfam family: Bacterial small subunit ribosomal RNA
Source: RNAcentral